GGGGUUGUGGCUCAGAGGUAGAGCACUCUCCUAGCGUGUUUGAGGCACUGGGUUCGAUCCUCAGCACCACA
RNAcentral lists this transfer RNA (71 nucleotides) under Marmota monax (woodchuck). RNAcentral describes it as "tRNA.Ala". The record is from RNAcentral. Lineage: Eukaryota; Metazoa; Chordata; Mammalia; Rodentia; Sciuridae.